This 460-nucleotide ribosomal RNA is filed under the name uncultured bacterium. RNAcentral's name for it is "partial 16S ribosomal RNA". It matches the Rfam family "Bacterial small subunit ribosomal RNA", at positions 338 to 795 of the family's 1533-position model. The record is from RNAcentral.
CCUACGGGAGGCAGCAGUGAGGAAUAUUGGUCAAUGGACGAGAGUCUGAACCAGCCAAGUAGCGUGAAGGAUGACUGCCCUAUGGGUUGUAAACUUCUUUUAUAUGGGAAUAAAACGUUCCACGUGUGGGAUUUUGUAUGUACCAUAUGAAUAAGGAUCGGCUAACUCCGUGCCAGCAGCCGCGGUAAUACGGAGGAUCCGAGCGUUAUCCGGAUUUAUUGGGUUUAAAGGGAGCGUAGGUGGAUUUUUAAGUCAGUUGUGAAAGUUUGCGGCUCAACCGUAAAAUUGCAGUUGAAACUGGCAGUCUUGAGUACAGUAGAGGUAGGCGGAAUUCGUGGUGUAGCGGUGAAAUGCUUAGAUAUCACGAAGAACUCCGAUUGCGAAGGCAGUUCACUGGACUGCAACUGACACUGAGGCUCGAAAGUGUGGGUAUCAAACAGGAUUAGAUACCCUUGUAGUC